RNAcentral lists this ribosomal RNA (412 nucleotides) under uncultured Akkermansia sp. RNAcentral's name for it is "partial 16S ribosomal RNA". It matches the Rfam family "Bacterial small subunit ribosomal RNA", at positions 355 to 774 of the family's 1533-position model. The record is from RNAcentral. Lineage: Bacteria; Pseudomonadati; Verrucomicrobiota; Verrucomicrobiia; Verrucomicrobiales; Akkermansiaceae.
UCGAGAAUCAUUCACAAUGGGCGAAAGCCUGAUGGUGCGACGCCGCGUGGGGGAUGAAGGUCUUCGGAUUGUAAACCCCUGUCAUGAGGGAGCAAGCUAGUGAUAGUUGAUAGUACCUCAAGAGGAAGAGACGGCUAACUCUGUGCCAGCAGCCGCGGUAAUACAGAGGUCUCAAGCGUUGUUCGGAAUCACUGGGCGUAAAGCGUGCGUAGGCGGCAAUGUAAGUCGGAUGUGAAAUGCGUGGGCUCAACCUACGAACUGCAUACGAUACUGCAUUGCUAGAGUAAUGGAGGGGGAACCGGAAUUCUCGGUGUAGCAGUGAAAUGCGUAGAUAUCGAGAGGAACACUCGUGGCGAAGGCGGGUUUCUGGACAUUAACUGACGCUGAGGCACGAAGGCUAGGGGAGCGAAAG